Molecule: long non-coding RNA, 731 nt
Filed under: Citrus x clementina
Lineage: Eukaryota; Viridiplantae; Streptophyta; Magnoliopsida; Sapindales; Rutaceae
Description: Citrus clementina (C. clementina) long non-coding RNA (CCLE_LNC001252)
Source: RNAcentral
ACGGACUGUAUUUGGCAGACUGAGGAUUGUAGCUUGGGGAUGUAGGACUAUAGGUUGGUGAAGUUGGGCUAUAACUUGGUGAAGUUGGACUAUAACCAGGAGAAGUGGGGCUAUAGGCUGGUGAAGUGGGGCUGUACGAUGGAGAAGUGGGGCUGUAUGACGGUGAGGUAGGGCUGUACGAAGGUGAUGUUGGGCUGUAGGAAGGAGAGGUUGGGCUGUACGAUGGUGAAGUGGGGCUGUAUGCAGGUGAGGUGGGGCUGUAUGCAGGUGAGGUGGGGCUAUAUGCCGGUGAGGUGGGGCUAUAGCUUGGUGAAGUUGGACUGUAACUGGGAGAAGUGGGGCUGUAACUUGGAGAGGUCGGGCUGUAGCUUGGGGAUGUUGGGCUGUAACUUGGGGAGGUUGGGCUAUAGCUUGGUGAAGUAGGUGAGUACGAUGGACUGGUAGGAGAAUAGGCAGGACUGGUUGGACUAUAACCAGGAGAACUUGGACUAUAAGUUGGUGAGGUAGGGCUAUAUCCAGGCGAGGUGGGACUGUAUCCAGGUGAAGUUGGGCUGUAUCCAGGUGACGUGGGACUGUAUCCAGGAGAUGACGGACUGUAGCCUGGUGAUGAUGGGCUGUAUCCAGGUGAUGAAGUAGGAGAGAAGGCCAUUCCACCAACAUAAGGAGAAAACUGGGCAUCCGUGACCGGGGACAGACGGAGAUUUGGGCUAAACAAGUAACCUGGAGACAUC